CACCGCCGCCGCUGCCCAUUACUGCGGCUGAGCCGCUGCACUCUUUCGCCACAGCCGCUGCCUACCGCAGACCCACCACUGUUGAUCCCUCUCAGAGUUGUGCGCCCCUCACUCUUCCCUUCUCUCUCUCACUAUACUCUCUGCCCAUCACAGCCGCCGCUGCCCAUCUCCGUCGCCGAGCCGCCGCACUCUACCACAGCCGCCCAUAGCCGUCGUUUCCUAUCACCGCUUCCGAGCCGCCACACUCUGCCGCCGCCGCCGCCGCCGCACUCCACACAUUGCAAGUGGCUGGAAAUCAUAUUCAGAAGGGGGCACGAUUAGUAUACAACAUAGCCAUUAUCGACCACUAAUUUUUGGGAACUUGUUUGGAGAUCUAUAUGCGGGUGCAAUAUGGACAGCCACUGAAAAACCAUAAAAUGAUGGGAAUUUCAGCACUAACAGAAUUCCCUUCAGUUGUGCACAUGGUUCUCCUGUAAAAUGUGACACCAUACCUGGAAGCUCCCUUCCAGAUUUAGGCUACAUCUUUUCAUUUGGUGAAGGAAACAAGAAAGAUAUUUGUAUCCUUGCAAGCACUGGUGUUUACUGAGUUGUUCCUCCAAGUCGCUGCAGUUAUGCUUGCUCACUGGAAAAGGUCAGGCAACAUCAGCGCCGUGCCGUGCAGUGCGAGAUUUAAUGUUGAUGAGCACAAGAGCCAAGGCAAUGGUCUUAGCCUCACAAGCAAGCAAGUCUCUUCAGAGCCGAAGCUAAUAGAAUUGUGAAAUCACAUGUAUUUUUUUAGUUACCCUACAAUGUAUUAUUAACUUCUUUUGUAUAUAUAAAAGAUGUUUUUCGUUGGACAGGUUUUGAAUCUAAAAUAUCUCCUUUAACAAGUUGGAGAGAACAGAGCUUUGAAUUUGUGUCUUGUA
Long non-coding RNA from Gastrolobium bilobum, 905 nucleotides. RefSeq lists it as uncharacterized. The transcript has 3 exons. NCBI's taxonomy places the organism in Eukaryota, Viridiplantae, Streptophyta, Magnoliopsida, Fabales, Fabaceae. The record is from RefSeq and is a predicted model, not a curated record.